RNAcentral lists this ribosomal RNA (445 nucleotides) under uncultured bacterium. RNAcentral's name for it is "partial 16S ribosomal RNA". It matches the Rfam family "Bacterial small subunit ribosomal RNA", at positions 354 to 796 of the family's 1533-position model. The record is from RNAcentral.
GUGAGGAAUAUUGCGCAAUGGAGGCAACUCUGACGCAGCCAUGCCGCGUGCAGGAAGAAGGCGCUACGCGUUGUAAACUGCUUUUAACCGGGAAGAAACCCCAGGACGUGUCCUGGGUUGACGGUACCGGAGGAAUAAGCACCGGCUAACUUCGUGCCAGCAGCCGCGGUAAUACGAAGGGUGCAAGCGUUAUCCGGAUUCAUUGGGUUUAAAGGGUGCGUAGGCGGAGCGUUAAGUCAGUGGUGAAAUCCUGCAGCUUAACUGUAGACUUGCCAUUGAUACUGGCGCUCUUGAGUGCGCUUGAAGUGGGCGGAAUGUGCCGUGUAGCGGUGAAAUGCUUAGAUAUGGCACAGAACACCAAUUGUGAAGGCAGCUCACUAAGGCGAUACUGACGCUGAGGCACGAAAGCGUGGGGAUCGAACAGGAUUAGAAACCCCGGUAGUCC